Molecule: long non-coding RNA, 113 nt
Organism: Sphaeramia orbicularis (orbiculate cardinalfish)
Lineage: Eukaryota; Metazoa; Chordata; Actinopteri; Kurtiformes; Apogonidae
Exons: 3
Source: RefSeq, a predicted model, not a curated record
UUUAUUAGAACAAAUUCCUUGACAUACAGUUCAGUCUCAUACAUAUUGUACAAUUCUUGUCUUAUACAUAUUUUUUCCUACUCAUACACACACAUUUUUUUGUUAUGUUUUUG